Paramacrobiotus metropolitanus is the source of this 1797-nucleotide long non-coding RNA. RefSeq lists it as uncharacterized. The record is from RefSeq and is a predicted model, not a curated record. NCBI's taxonomy places the organism in Eukaryota, Metazoa, Tardigrada, Eutardigrada, Parachela, Macrobiotidae. The transcript is spliced from 3 exons.
UGCAAACAUUCCACACUUCUGUUGUUUUCUCUCACGUUGAUUUAACAGUGUUGAAUAUAGUUUUUUAAAAUACUUUUUUGUGGUAAGUGAUCAAGAACUUCGGAGCAUCGCUUGGAUUCCUGCAAAAAAAAGAUUCAGUACAGAAAUGGAGUCUCUAUCAUACAACUGGAACAGUGUGAAUGUUUUGGAUUCUGACGGUCGCGUUUUCCAUGGCCGCGUAGUGGAUGUCGCACGUGACGGGUUGUUAAUCGACUUUUUUUGUGAUGGGCGCCGGCAAGAACUUAUACAUUUCAACCGAAUUUUUUUGAACGAAAAAUAUCUGGAUGGAGUUGACCUCGCCAUGAGAUACGCGGCAUCAGAGGAACUUCCGCCAGUUGAGAUACUGGUGCGCGACAGUAUGUCUGGCCCGUUGAAAUGGAGUCCCGCCAAGCUGUUCAAUUUAUCUCGCGGCUUCGAACACCACAGUUACAAUUUAGUAGCCAUAUACUGCGGAGAAAAUGAGGAAAACGUGAAACUUGUGCCCUUGACGCACGUCCGCUGGAAGCAAGACCUUGAUGCUACUACUUUCGACAACGGUAACCCCCAGAGAACUGCGAAGCAAAAUCCCGUUAAGGAAGGAACUUUUAAAAAGAGAGCUUCUUUAUUGCCUGGUGGCUGUUCUUCGUAUUUCACAGAUGCUAUCCCUGCAUUCAACCGUACCAUCCAUCCUUUACCUAGCACGGGCGUUGCGGGCAUUGAAAUUAGGAAUGGGUGCAUGAUUUACCUUCAACGCAGUUUCAAAAACACGAACUCGUACCUUCAGGAUAUGUGGAUUGAACAGGAAAUUUUCAACUUAUUUUCUAAAAACCUCCUGGAUCACGCUCGAAGACAAGCGAUCCUGAAAACAGAAUCAUCAGGAGCAAUCUGUUUAUCCAACGGAAUAUCCACUAUUGCUUCUGAUCUGCUUCUAGAGAUAUUGUCGCAUUUGCCAACAAUUGUCCAGGCAAAACUGCGUGCAGUGUGAUUCAAAUGGAACACAAUCCUUACUUCUCCUUUGAUAACACGGUUUAUCAAACUAUACACAAUGGCUGAGGCCGAAAGGAUGGAAUCCCUUCGUAUCUACUUCCUGUUCGCACCUUUAUUCUACUGCUUUUCACCCUCAACCCAAGAAGUUAUUGUUACGGAUCCAGGUGGUUGGAUGACUGGUAGCAGUUUGUUGCAAGCGUUUGAAGCAGUUUGCUGCUGCGCUAUGUUACAAGAAGAAGAACUCAGACUGAAAAAUAUCCGUUUUUUUGGUGUGGAAUGCCGUUUUAUACACCAAAGCGGGUUUUCUUUCGACGAAAAUGGAUAUCUGAUUUCCACGCCACCUUUGGAGAAUGUAGGAGAUAUUCGUGUUGCAGAUUUAAAAUCUGCGUGCGCUAUUUUGCCGUGCAAGGACAUUUACUGGAAUAAAUGUACUGCCAUUUUGGACGGCGAGAUAUCUUUCGUUCUUGAUCCACGACUGCUUGAAUUGCUUGGCCUAAUCCAUAAAGGGACAACCAAAAUGCCAUGUGACCUUGGGCGCGAUUUGAAGGAGAAACUCUCUGAUCCCAGCGAUGAACAGGUUCAUCGCCUUUGCGGGUGGAUUGCGGCAAUUAAACUCUUUAACGAUUAAGUGCAACCAAAAAUUUAGUGUUUUCGAAACUAGGUGGUUUCUUUUGCAAAAAAAAACAUAUGUAAGCAAUCUUUCUAAGUUUCCGAGAAUUUGCUCUCAGGCCUUUUUCUUGUUUUAUAAUUCGUUCAAAUACCUAAUUUUCAAGUUCCGUAAUUAUCAGUAGC